GUUUGUUUGGAGUUAUAAAGAAUUUAACCUGCCCCCUGAUUAACUAUUAAAUUAAAGGGCCGCAGUAUUAUAACUGUGCAAAGGUAGCAUAAUCAUUAGGUUUUUAAUUGAAAUCUCGUAUGAAUGGUUGGACAAAAGAAAGACUCUCUUUAUAUUAAGUUUUGAAUUUAACUUUUAAGUGAAAAGGCUUAAAUAUUCUAAAGGGACGAUAAGACCCUAUAAAACUUUACAUUGUCAUUAAUUUUGAUUGAAUUUAUGAAAUAAAAAUUUUAUUUGAUUAUUUGUUAUGUUGGGGAGACAUAAGUAAAAUAUUUUUUUAACUGCUUGAUAGUUAUACAAUUAUUAGUGAAUAAGUAGAAGAUCCUUUUUAAGAUUAGUAGAUUAAGUUACUUUAGGGAUAACAGUGUAAUUUCUUUUGAGAGUUCUUAUCGAAAAAGAAGGUUGCAACCUCGAUGUUGAAUUAAAAUAUCUAUAUAAUGGAGAAGUUAUAUAAGAAGGUCUGUUCGACCUUGAAAAUUUUACAUGAUUUGAGUUCAAACCGGUGUGAG
This 548-nucleotide ribosomal RNA is filed under the name Longpotamon chalingense. RNAcentral's name for it is "partial 16S ribosomal RNA". It matches the Rfam family "Bacterial large subunit ribosomal RNA", at positions 1831 to 2625 of the family's 2925-position model. The record is from RNAcentral. Lineage: Eukaryota; Metazoa; Arthropoda; Malacostraca; Decapoda; Potamidae. RNAcentral also lists the same sequence under 1 other name.